AAAACACUGAGAGAGAAAGAACAACUUGUCAGGUGGUGCAUUGGAGACUGAUGUGUUCCUGUCCUGUCUUUUCAUAAUACUAUUGCAGAUCGACAUAAAAGCCUAAAAGACAGCCGUGGUGUUGCUCUUCAUUUCUUGGUUCUCCUGUGGUGCAUAAGAAACCCGCUACACUAGCUAUGGAAAUGGUCAUGGAGAUGGUAUUUCACAGCACUUCCGGCAUGGUGCACUGCGACAAUGCCGUUGAGCAAAUCGACCAAAAUCACGCAGCAACAACUGCUGUGGCAGAGGGAAAACAGUGCACUCAUCUGUAAGUAGGCCUAGUAUGCAUGUCUUCUUCACAGCCUUGUCUCAGGGUCUCUGUUGAUGUUUCUUUCAUGGUCUACGACUUGUUGAGUGUACCAAUUGUGUGUCUAAUUACCUCAGCGUAUGCUGUUGGAUCUUUGUAAGUCUCAGAGUACUUUUUCUAACACUUACAAAGAGUUAGGCCAAUGUAUUAAUGGUCUAAUCUAGUCUUAUCUUAAGCCUGUCUUUCUAGUGUCAUCUUAAGCCUGUCUGCCUGUCUCUCAUUGAGUCUCAUUGUCUGUCUGUCUGUCUGUCUGUCUGUCUGUCUGUCUGUCUGUCUGUCUGUUAUUGAGUGUGGUGACUGUUAUUGUCUGUUAUUGAGUGUGGUGACUGUUAUUGUCUGUUAUUGAGUGUGGUGACUGUUAUUGUCAGUGGUGUAGUGGUGCUUGGAGAAGUCGGUAUACUCUAAUUUUGCCAAACAUUUUCCUAUAGUAGUUUCAUGUUUUCACUCUCAAAAUUACAAUUUUUAAUCGAAAAACUUCAAAAAUGUGAAGUUUGAAGUCCAUAACCGGCUACUGAUGUCUUUCAAUUCUGUGAGCUGCUCCAUGCGACAACAACCAGUUGAGAGCUGUGUGCUCUUCCUGCCUGAUAUUCCGCUAAAACUAGCAAUGUGUGCAGCAUGAAUGUGAAUAGCCUAUAUUCACAUACUUUGCGAUUGUUUAGGCUACUUUGUGCAUGAUUUCGCUAUUGUACUACAUAAUUGAAAUGGCAUAUACCUUCACUAUACUACUUUGAUACGCAUCAGUAGGGAUUAAGAAGUAAUAUGCAAUUCCCACUGGAAAAAAGUGGGUAUACGGCGUAUAGCCCCCACUACACCAAUGUUCAUUGUAAAUCUGUCUCUCUGUCUCUCUGUCUCUCUCUGUCUCUCUCUGUCUCUCUCUGUCUUUCAUCGUGUCCCAGCGUGGGCUGCAGAGAAUGUUGUGACUGACGUGCCCUGGUUAGUGUGUGUAUACAUGUGUGUGUAUACGCAUGUGUACGUGUGAGUGUAUUUGUGUGUGUCUGGCCACCUUUCCCGCUCCUGAUCCCCUUAAUCCUCUCAGUCUGCAUGGCUCAAACAGCCUUGCAUUCCCGCGGCAACACCAUUUCCCUGAGUUUCCCAUCCAGAUUGAACCCAAACCACCCUGGCCCCCACCUCCCCUCGCCCCCUCCCUCCACCCCUCCAUCCCAUCACAUCACACACUGUGCAGAGGUGUCAGCGGGUUCACUGCAAUGCAGGCGGGCAAUCCCAUCCCAGGAAAUCUUCAUAAAAAGUUUUGAAGAGCCUUAGAGGGAGUGGUCUACCCUGAACCCAGGCCCCUCGGGGCAGUGAUCCCCCCCAUUUGUGCUGCUGUUAUAAAGAAUGCACCUCUAAACCACUUUCCCACCACUAAGAGGAUUACCAAGGUAAUGCUUCAUAUCAAAAAGAUGCUACGGCCGAUCUAGCCGCUGGGAGGCUGAAUUUAAUUAUUCAUGUAGAAGACUGAUGUCAGACUGGACACUGCCCUGUACUGUGAUGAAAACCUUAUGUAUGUCCACGUGAGGGUCAAGACCUUGUUGCAAACCAUGUCAGUCCACAAACGUAACUGAUACUGUAGUAACCACUGUAAAAGCACUUUAACUUGCACAUGUAUACCUUCUCAAAUCUCCGUAGUUUAGGUCACAUGCUGGGAGAGAUAAGAUGGGUGGAAGCAAAUGACAGCUAUUAGCAUAGAAAUUGGACAGGAUGGAAAUGAAUAUUGAGUAUAGGAUGCUUAGUCCUGGAGUCAAUAGUCAUAAAGUCUAAAUGUGUUCUAUAAUGUCCAUGACCUAAUGUACAGACCUUAACAUUAUCAAUAUACUACACAUUGUUUUUAAAACUCUUUACUGUGUUGCUGUUAGGUAUCGAAAACCAGUUGGUCCAUUCCAUAAAAUAAAACUUUUACACUGCGUCAAAUGAUUCUGCCUUCAUUUUAGCCGUCAUCCCACAUGACAGAAAGUACAGUAGUGUUGGUGUCGUGGGUCCCCUCAUGCUUUGGUUUUCCACUCUUUGUGACGGUGUUGAUGUAGGCAAUGUUUACGCACUGUCUCCUGGCCGGCACAGACAUCAUGUCCGAUCAGGAUCAACUGGUACGUGUGUGUGUGUGUGUGUGUGUGUGUGUGUGUGUGUGUGUGUGUGUGUGUGUGUGUGUGUGUGUGUGUGUGUGUGUGUGUGUGUGUGUGUGUGUGUGUGUGAUACCAAAACAAAACUCACUUCCUCUUUGGCGACAUGUUUGCCUUUCAGUCUGAUGGCUACUAGCCCUUUGUGUGUCCAAUGUGGAAUGGCACUCACUAACCUAUUUUCUCCCCUCUAAACAUGACAAACUUGACAAACUGUGUUCAAGGUAGUACAUCCUAAAUGCCCAACAUCACCUCAUCCCUGAAAUGUACAUGUUUUGGAAAGCAUUGCUUCAGUCACCUGAAAAUUAAAUCAACGCUAUGUCUGUUGUAGAAAAGGAAUACAAUCCCAUAAAAAUUUAUUUUUUAUAUAUGAACAUUUUCAAUUUCGAUUUGAAUGGAUAACUUAUGUUACAUAGAUUCAUUAGUAGAUAUGAACUCAGCGUUCACUUUUGAGUCAUUUUGUCUCAUCUUUCAGUUAGGAUGUUUUACAGAUGUUUUACAGAUGUUUUGCACUAACUGUUCAGUAAAGAUCUGUUAAAAUCUGUU
Salmo salar (Atlantic salmon) is the source of this 3003-nucleotide non-coding RNA. The record is from RefSeq and is a predicted model, not a curated record. NCBI's taxonomy places the organism in Eukaryota, Metazoa, Chordata, Actinopteri, Salmoniformes, Salmonidae.